Molecule: ribosomal RNA, 307 nt
Filed under: uncultured eukaryote
Lineage: Eukaryota
Description: partial 18S ribosomal RNA
Rfam family: Eukaryotic small subunit ribosomal RNA
Source: RNAcentral
CCCUUAGACGUUCUGGGCCGCACGCGCGCUACACUGACGAAGGCAACGAGCUUUCCUUUACCGAAAGGUACGGGUAAUCUUUUGAAACUUCGUCGUGCUGGGGAUAGAUCCUUGCAAUUUUUGAUCUUAAACGAGGAAUGCCUAGUAAGCGCAAGUCAUCAACUUGCGUUGAUUACGUCCCUGCCCUUUGUACACACCGCCCGUCGCUACUACCGAUUGAAUGGUUUAGUGAGGCCUUCGGAUCCGCGACUCGUUUGUGGAGAAGUUGGACAAACUCAGUCAUUUAGAGGAAGUAAAAGUCGUGACA